CCCUUCGCGGCCUAUCAGCUUGUUGGUGAGGUAAUGGCUCACCAAGGCGACGACGGGUAGUCGGCCUGAGAGGGCGACCGGCCACACUGGGACUGAGACACGGCCCAGACUCCUACGGGAGGCAGCAGUGGGGAAUAUUGCACAAUGGGCGAAAGCCUGAUGCAGCGACGCCGCGUGAGGGAUGACGGCCUUCGGGUUGUAAACCUCUUUCAGCAGGGAAGAAGCGAAAGUGACGGUACCUGCAGAAGAAGCGCCGGCUAACUACGUGCCAGCAGCCGCGGUAAUACGUAGGGCGCAAGCGUUGUCCGGAAUUAUUGGGCGUAAAGAGCUCGUAGGCGGCUUGUCGCGUCGGUUGUGAAAGCCCGGGGCUUAACCCCGGGUCUGCAGUCGAUACGGGCAGGCUAGAGUUCGGUAGGGGAGAUCGGAAUUCCUGGUGUAGCGGUGAAAUGCGCAGAUAUCAGGAGGAACACCGGUGGCGAAGGCGGAUCUCUGGGCCGAUACUGACGCUGAGGAGCGAAAGCGUGGGGAGCGAACAGGAUUAGAUACCCUGGUAGUCCACGCCGUAAACGGUGGACACUAGGUGUGGGCCACAUUCCACGUGGUCCGUGCCGCAGCUAACGCAUUAAGUGCCCCGCCUGGGGGAGUACGGAAGGGC
RNAcentral lists this ribosomal RNA (655 nucleotides) under uncultured Streptomyces sp. RNAcentral describes it as "bacterial SSU rRNA". It matches the Rfam family "Bacterial small subunit ribosomal RNA", at positions 227 to 891 of the family's 1533-position model. The record is from RNAcentral. Lineage: Bacteria; Bacillati; Actinomycetota; Actinomycetes; Kitasatosporales; Streptomycetaceae.